This 468-nucleotide ribosomal RNA is filed under the name uncultured bacterium. RNAcentral describes it as "partial 16S ribosomal RNA". It matches the Rfam family "Bacterial small subunit ribosomal RNA", at positions 28 to 507 of the family's 1533-position model. The record is from RNAcentral.
GACGAACGCUGGCGGCGUGCUUAACACAUGCAAGUCGAACGGUGAUGCUCCAGCUUGCUGGAGUGGAUCAGUGGCGAACGGGUGAGUAACACGUGAGCAACCUUCCCCAGACUCUGGUAUAAGUGCUGGAAACGGCGUCUAAUACUGGAUACGAAACUGGCCCGCAUGGGCAUGGUUUGGAAAGUUGUUCGGUUUGGGAUGGGCUCGCGGCCUAUCAGCUUGUUGGUGCGGUAAUGGCUCACCAAGGCGACGACGGGUAGCCGGCCUGAGAGGGCGACCGGCCACACGGGGAGUGAGGCACGGCCCAGAAGCAUACGGGAGCCAGCAGGGGGGAAUAGUGCACAUUGGGGGAAAGCCUGAUGCAGAGACGCCGCGUGAGGGAUGACAGCCGUCGGGUUGUAAACCGCUUUCAGCAGGAAAGAAGCGAAAGUGACGGUACCGGCUGGAGAAGCACCGGCUAGCUACGUG